GCAUAAGUAUAUUUUAAUAUUACAGAUUUCCUGAUUUCACCAGUAGUUUUAAUGCAACUGUGUCUACUGGCAAUACACCAAGCGUCGGUGUUAGAAAAACUAGCACUUCUACUCGAUUUGUAAAUGGCAAGAAAAUUGAAACAAAGAAGGUUCUAGCGAAUGGCGUAGAAACAGUAACUGUACAUGAAGAUGGAGUUUUGAAAUCAAGGACUGUAAAUGGUGUCCCACAACCACUCAAUGCUCUACGUUAAAAUAUCUUAAGCAAUUUGUCAGUCUAAAGAUAAACUCUGCUUUUAUUUUCAGUCAUUACAUUGAGAAAUCUUAUAAUUUGGUUGCUACAAAUAUAUGUUGCCAUUUCAAAAACAACCAUUUAUUGUAUAUAUUUUGAGCUAAUAAUCUUGUAAUAUUUAUGCUUCUUUUGAAGGCUGUAAAAAUUUUUUCUGAAGAUGCAUAUAAAAUACCUAUCUGUUAAUAAUGCUAAGCGUGUGAGUGAAUGGCAUUGUGCAGUGUACAUUUAUUUAACCCAUUCUUUAAUGAUUUAAAUGGCCAUUUUUUUCCUUGUACUUAAGCAUAAACAAACUUAUUUUAGAGUGGAAUGUAUUUAUUUCAGUAAUUAAAAACAUUUAAAUGUGAAUGAUAUGUAUGAUAUAUUUGAUUUUAAGCAAUACGGGGAACUCCGCUGUACUUAAAAUAAUUGAAAACAAGCUGUACUUUGUAUGGCUUAAAAUUUUAGAAAAGGAAAUUAUUCAGAAUCGGAAUUAUUGUAUAAUUUGUAUUUAAUUAUCUUUAAACUGGCUCAUUUCAAUUUUUUUAAAAUUCCCGUGGUGAAAUGUUACGUUAUGCAUGUGAAAGAACUUAUUCCCCCUGUGAAUUCAUAUUUAUGCAUUUAAGUUUAAAAUGAAAACUAAUACUGGAAACAGUUCUAGAUUUUAAUUGUUAAUCAUAAUGCUUCAAAUAUUAAUUUUCAUUAAUUUCUUUUUUAUUAAUAAGUUGUUACACGGAAGUUUUAAAAUUUUCUUGUAUUAUGGAAUAAAUUAUUUUAGUAUGAGCAUUAGGUGAAUACAUUUUGAAAUUUUAUUUUGGAAGAAUUAUUAUUUUAAUGUGAAGCAUAACGUGAAUAUGAUAUUUCAAAAUGUAAUACUGAAUUUUGCACAUUUUUCAUCUCAUUAACCCUUUAGUGAAAUGCACUCAUUUGGUUCUGUAUAUACAUGUUCUGUGUAUUAUAUUCAGUUUGUUUUGUGCUUAUUGUCACUGUUAUCUUUUAUUCCAUGUAAAGAACCGAAUUGGCAGACAUCUGUUUUUCAAUGUUGGAUGUCUUUCGGUUUAAGCUGAAGUGAAAAAUUAAAUACUAAUAAUCUUAA
Stegodyphus dumicola is the source of this 1361-nucleotide long non-coding RNA. NCBI's taxonomy places the organism in Eukaryota, Metazoa, Arthropoda, Arachnida, Araneae, Eresidae. The record is from RefSeq and is a predicted model, not a curated record.